GACGUAGGAUGCGAGCGUUGUCCGGAUUUAUUGGGCGUAAAGAGUUCGUAGGUGGUUUGUUAAGUCCGAUGUUAAAGACUGAGGCUCAACCUCGGAAAUGCAUUGGAUACUGGCAGACUUGAGUACAGUAGAGGCAAGUGGAAUUCCCAGUGUAGCGGUGAAAUGCGUAGAUAUUGGGAAGAACACCAGUGGCGUAAGCGACUUGCUGGGCUGUUACUGACACUGAGGAACGAAAGCCAGGGGAGCAAAUGGG
RNAcentral lists this ribosomal RNA (253 nucleotides) under uncultured bacterium. RNAcentral describes it as "partial 16S ribosomal RNA". It matches the Rfam family "Bacterial small subunit ribosomal RNA", at positions 524 to 776 of the family's 1533-position model. The record is from RNAcentral.